Long non-coding RNA from Gallus gallus (chicken), 1718 nucleotides. The record is from Ensembl. Lineage: Eukaryota; Metazoa; Chordata; Aves; Galliformes; Phasianidae.
AGGGACUUUAUUCAUUAACAAGUUAAAUGAAGUUGAUGACCAGAGUGCUUCUGUUGGGCUUGGACCACUGAUAUUUUUGUUCACUGUGCAGAGGAGGAGGAGAGCUGACCAUAUCACUGGUGUCAGGGCAGAAGACCUUCCCCCCAAGACCUCAGAGCAGUGCAGGUGAGCAAUGGGCCCGUGCUCUGGGAGCAUCUCAGUGACAGCCAAAGGAAACCCGGAGCGCUGCCUGCACACACAGCAAUGUGAGCCGCAGGGAGCAGGCUGCCAGGAGGCCAGGAGGAUUUCAGUCUGGUUUCUCCCAGUCAGGAGCACGGAUGGGAUGAGCUGCUGCAACUAUAAUUCAUAUCCAAUCAGAGUGAAAGCAUUACUGUAAUUAACCGACAAGUAAAUAUACUCAUAUACCGGAGCUAUGACUUCCAAAAUCAUGACCUGAGGCAAACCCUGUGCUUUGUUAACUGCACUCCACGUAAUUGGGAAGACACUGACUGCCUCCUCCUGGGCGUGGGAAGGUGACGGCAGGACCUCAGCCCGCAUGCACUGAGCCUUGCAGGGCACCUUGGCUCAAGGAACCCAAAAAUCCCACGGAGGAAUGCAAACACCACUCUGCCGGAACACAAUUAGAAACAAUUAAACACAGGGUAACUUAAGGGGGGGAAAAAAAAACCCAAAACCAGCACAACCUUUUUAUUCAGACAAACACAAGAGAUAGAUAGGAUUUAUGAGCUCAGAUUUUUGGUUGGAGAGCCAACGCGUUACUUGAAAGCAUCGUGAUGUGACCGAGGGGGUGCACAUGGGUUGGAAUAAUUUGUCAAGCCGCAUGAGGCGGAUUUAUUUUAAACCAAUGACUUCCCAGCAUUGAGGGAAGGAGCAGCCCCCAGCUACAGUCCCUUUUCAUUCCGAUGCUUGUAACAAUGAAGAUGAAAUAUGAUUUCCCCUUCUAAGAAAUGCUCCAAAAGGCAAAACAAAACCCCACCAAAACGCAUGUGUUUCUCUGUUACAGAAGAUAGGUCUCUGCAUGCGGGAAAUCCUGUGUUUUCCUUAUUUUCUACCACAAAUGCCCCAUUUUUAAAGAGAUGAAUACUGCAAUCAUUUUCUCUCAUUUACGUUUUCAUUUCUGCCUCAUUUGGCACCACCGCUGUUGUUCCAAGAACAACGGCUCUCUGCAAAGGGAAUGAUCUCCGGACGUCUCAUCUAAAACCUUUGAAGUCAAUGGGGAUGAAGUGAAAUGCAAGGCAGAGGGGCGAUGCAUAUUAGCAGCAAUCAAAUACUUUCCCACUGCCCGAGUGGACUCUGCGCACAUCGCCUGAUGGCACGGAGCUGCAGUCCCUAUGCCUCAGACAGAAGGGAAAACUUAGCAGGUCACCAAGCACAAGGCUUGCAGGUUUGGGAUCUGAAGUCUGAUACAAAUGUGGGUCGUGCACCAGGUCCCGGAGCAGCAGCAAAAGUCGUGGACGUCUCUGUGUGUGAGCAUCCCUGGAAAUCGGACGGGCCGUGUGUGGUCAGCGGCACCGGGACAGCAGCAGUGGGAACAAAGUGUCGCAGCUCUGAGCUCCCCGGGUGUGAGGCGUGUGCUGGCAAGCCAGACGGCGACAAGGAACGUUCGAAAGAGGAACUUGGAGAAGAAUUAGCGUCAGGCAUGUGUAAAGAGGGUUAUUCUCUCCAUCUCCAACGCCUAUAAUUACAUAUCAAACGUGCUAAUAAAAUCCAGUGGUUAC